Molecule: non-coding RNA, 73 nt
Organism: Parelaphostrongylus tenuis
Lineage: Eukaryota; Metazoa; Nematoda; Chromadorea; Rhabditida; Metastrongylidae
Source: the annotation of a GenBank genome assembly
GCGUCGGUGGUGCAACGGUUCAGCACACGUUCCCGGAAAGAAUGAGGUCCGGGUUUGAAUCCAGGCUGAAGCA